AACGAACGCUGGCGGCAUGCCUAACACAUGCAAGUCGAACGAGACCUUCGGGUCUAGUGGCGCACGGGUGCGUAACGCGUGGGAACCUGCCCUUAGGUUCGGAAUAACUCCCCGAAAGGGGUGCUAAUACCAGAUAAUGUCUUCGGACCAAAGAUUUAUCGCCUUUGGAUGGGCCCGCGUUGGAUUAGCUAGUUGGUAGGGUAAAAGCCUACCAAGGCGACGAUCCAUAGCUGGUCUGAGAGGAUGAUCAGCCACACUGGGACUGAGACACGGCCCAGACUCCUACGGGAGGCAGCAGUGGGGAAUAUUGGACGAUGGGCGAAAGCCUGAUCCAGCAAUGCCGCGUGAGUGAUGAAGGCCUUAGGGUUGUAAAGCUCUUUUACCCGGGAUGAUAAUGACAGUACCGGGAGAAUAAGCUCCGGCUAACUCCGUG
This 433-nucleotide ribosomal RNA is filed under the name uncultured bacterium. Its description in RNAcentral is "partial 16S ribosomal RNA". It matches the Rfam family "Bacterial small subunit ribosomal RNA", at positions 29 to 507 of the family's 1533-position model. The record is from RNAcentral.